This 81-nucleotide transfer RNA is filed under the name Aristolochia contorta. RNAcentral describes it as "tRNA-Lys". It matches the Rfam family "tRNA". From Rfam's summary of the family: Transfer RNA (tRNA) molecules are approximately 80 nucleotides in length. The record is from RNAcentral. Lineage: Eukaryota; Viridiplantae; Streptophyta; Magnoliopsida; Piperales; Aristolochiaceae.
GGGUUGCUAACUCAAUGGUAGAGUACUCGGCUUUUAAGUGCGACUACCGACUAGUUCCGGGUUCGAGUCCCGGGCAACCCA